UACAGAGGGGGCAAGCGUUGUUCGGAAUUACUGGGCGUAAAGGGCGCGUAGGCGGCCUUCUAAGUCGAACAUGAAAUCCCUGGGCUCAACCCAGGAACUGCGUCCGAUACUGGGAGGCUUGAAUCCGGGAGAGGGAUGCGGAAUUCCAGGUGUAGCGGUGAAAUGCGUAGAUAUCUGGAGGAACACCGGUGGCGAAGGCGGCAUCCUGGACCGGUAUUGACGCUGAGGCGCGAAAGCCAGGGGAGCAAACAGG
This 253-nucleotide ribosomal RNA is filed under the name uncultured bacterium. RNAcentral's name for it is "partial 16S ribosomal RNA". It matches the Rfam family "Bacterial small subunit ribosomal RNA", at positions 524 to 776 of the family's 1533-position model. The record is from RNAcentral.